Molecule: ribosomal RNA, 426 nt
Filed under: uncultured bacterium
Lineage: Bacteria
Description: partial 16S ribosomal RNA
Rfam family: Bacterial small subunit ribosomal RNA
Source: RNAcentral
GUGAGGAAUUUUCCGCAAUGGGCGAAAGCCUGACGGAGCAAUGCCGCGUGAAGGAUGAAGGCCUAUGGGUUGUAAACUUCUUUUCUUAGAGAAGAAUAUUGACGGUAUCUGAGGAAUAAGGAUCGGCUAACUCCGUGCCAGCAGCCGCGGUAAUACGGAGGAUCCAAGCGUUAUCCGGAAUCAUUGGGUUUAAAGGGUCCGUAGGCGGUUUAAUAAGUCAGUGGUGAAAGCCCAUCGCUCAACGAUGGAACGGCCAUUGAUACUGUUAGACUUGAAUUACAAGGAAGUAACUAGAAUAUGUAGUGUAGCGGUGAAAUGCUUAGAUAUUACAUGGAAUACCAAUUGCGAAGGCAGGUUACUACUUGUGGAUUGACGCUGAUGGACGAAAGCGUGGGGAGCGAACAGGAUUAGAUACCCUGGUAGUCC